Molecule: ribosomal RNA, 253 nt
Filed under: uncultured bacterium
Lineage: Bacteria
Description: partial 16S ribosomal RNA
Rfam family: Bacterial small subunit ribosomal RNA
Source: RNAcentral
UACGGAGGGUGCGAGCGUUGUCCGGAAUCACUGGGCGUAAAGGGCGCGUAGGUGGCGCUGCAAGUCAACGGUGAAAGCUCGACGCUUAACGUCGAGUCGGCCGUCGAAACCGCAGCGCUCGAGCACUGUAGAGGCUCAUGGAAUUCCGGGUGUAGCGGUGGAAUGCGUAGAGAUCCGGAAGAACACCGGUGGCGAAGGCGGUGAGCUGGGCAGUUGCUGACACUGAUGCGCGACAGCGUGGGGAGCAAACAGG